This 68-nucleotide transfer RNA is filed under the name Camelus bactrianus (Bactrian camel). It matches the Rfam family "tRNA". Rfam says of the family: Transfer RNA (tRNA) molecules are approximately 80 nucleotides in length. Their secondary structure includes four short double-helical elements and three loops (D, anti-codon, and T loops). Further hydrogen bonds mediate the characteristic L-shaped molecular structure. tRNAs have two regions of fundamental functional importance: the anti-codon, which is responsible for specific mRNA codon recognition, and the 3' end, to which the tRNAs corresponding amino acid is attached (by aminoacyl-tRNA synthetases). tRNAs cope with the degeneracy of the genetic code in two manners: having more than one tRNA (with a specific anti-codon) for a particular amino acid; and 'wobble' base-pairing, i.e. permitting non-standard base-pairing at the 3rd anti-codon position. The record is from Rfam by way of RNAcentral. RNAcentral also lists the same sequence under 2 other names. Lineage: Eukaryota; Metazoa; Chordata; Mammalia; Artiodactyla; Camelidae.
GGAGAGCUCAGUGGUAGAGCGCAUGCUUAGCACGCAUGAGGUCAUGGGUUCGAUCCCCAGCACCUCCG